RNAcentral lists this ribosomal RNA (468 nucleotides) under uncultured bacterium. RNAcentral describes it as "bacterial SSU rRNA". It matches the Rfam family "Bacterial small subunit ribosomal RNA", at positions 33 to 507 of the family's 1533-position model. The record is from RNAcentral.
AGGACGACGCUGGCGGCGUGCCUAACACAUGCAAGUCGAGCGAAUGAAGUUUCUUCGGGAACGGAUUUAGCGGCGGACGGGUGAGUAACACGUGGGCAACCUGCCUCAUAGAGGGGAAUAGCCUUCCGAAAGGGAGAUUAAUACCGCAUAAGAUUGUAGUACCGCAUGGUACAGCAAUUAAAGGAGCAAUCCGCUAUGAGAUGGGCCCGCGGCGCAUUAGCUAGUUGGUGAGGUAACGGCUCACCAAGGCGACGAUGCGUAGCCGACCUGAGAGGGUGAUCGGCCACAUUGGGACUGAGACACGGCCCAGACUCCUACGGGAGGCAGCAGUGGGGAAUAUUGCACAAUGGGGGAAACCCUGACGCAGCAACGCCGCGUGAAGGAUGAAGGUCUUCGGAUUGUAAACUUUUGUCUUAUGGGAAGAAAAAAAUGACGGUACCAUAGGAGGAAGCCACGGCUAACUACGUG